GGUGAAACUGGUAGACGCGCCAGACUCAAAAUCUGGUAAGGGUAACCUUGUGUCGGUUCGAGUCCGACC
Molecule: transfer RNA, 69 nt
Filed under: Campylobacter coli
Lineage: Bacteria; Pseudomonadati; Campylobacterota; Epsilonproteobacteria; Campylobacterales; Campylobacteraceae
Description: tRNA-Leu
Rfam family: tRNA
About the family: Transfer RNA (tRNA) molecules are approximately 80 nucleotides in length. Their secondary structure includes four short double-helical elements and three loops (D, anti-codon, and T loops). Further hydrogen bonds mediate the characteristic L-shaped molecular structure. tRNAs have two regions of fundamental functional importance: the anti-codon, which is responsible for specific mRNA codon recognition, and the 3' end, to which the tRNAs corresponding amino acid is attached (by aminoacyl-tRNA synthetases). tRNAs cope with the degeneracy of the genetic code in two manners: having more than one tRNA (with a specific anti-codon) for a particular amino acid; and 'wobble' base-pairing, i.e. permitting non-standard base-pairing at the 3rd anti-codon position.
Source: RNAcentral